RNAcentral lists this ribosomal RNA (449 nucleotides) under uncultured bacterium. RNAcentral describes it as "bacterial SSU rRNA". It matches the Rfam family "Bacterial small subunit ribosomal RNA", at positions 331 to 794 of the family's 1533-position model. The record is from RNAcentral.
CCAGACUCCUACGGGAGGCAGCAGUGGGGAAUAUUGGGCAAUGGAGGAAACUCUGACCCAGCAACGCCGCGUGAAUGAUGAAGGUCUUCGGAUUGUAAAGUUCUUUUCUAAGGGAAGAAGAAAGUGACGGUACCUUAGGAAUAAGCCUCGGCUAACUACGUGCCAGCAGCCGCGGUAAUACGUAGGAGGCGAGCGUUAUCCGGAUUUACUGGGUGUAAAGGGCGUGUAGGCGGGACUGCAAGUCAGAUGUGAAAACUCAGGGCUCAACCCUGAGCCUGCAUUUGAAACUGUAGUUCUUGAGUACUGGAGAGGCAGACGGAAUUCCUAGUGUAGCGGUGAAAUGCGUAGAUAUUAGGAGGAACACCAGUGGCGAAGGCGGUCUGCUGGACAGCAACUGACGCUGAGGCGCGAAAGCGUGGGGAGCAAACAGGAUUAGAUACCCGGGUAAC